Molecule: transfer RNA, 74 nt
Filed under: bacterium
Lineage: Bacteria
Description: tRNA-His
Rfam family: tRNA
About the family: Transfer RNA (tRNA) molecules are approximately 80 nucleotides in length. Their secondary structure includes four short double-helical elements and three loops (D, anti-codon, and T loops). Further hydrogen bonds mediate the characteristic L-shaped molecular structure. tRNAs have two regions of fundamental functional importance: the anti-codon, which is responsible for specific mRNA codon recognition, and the 3' end, to which the tRNAs corresponding amino acid is attached (by aminoacyl-tRNA synthetases). tRNAs cope with the degeneracy of the genetic code in two manners: having more than one tRNA (with a specific anti-codon) for a particular amino acid; and 'wobble' base-pairing, i.e. permitting non-standard base-pairing at the 3rd anti-codon position.
Source: RNAcentral
GCGGUCGUAGCUCAACUGGUUAGAGCAUCAGAUUGUGGCUCUGAAGGUUGCGGGUUCGAGCCCCGUCGAUCGCC